CCCGGUGUCCUGGCGACGGACUUGAGGAAGGCGGCUGCGCGCGGACGGAGCAGUGGCGGGACUACAAAUCCCAUACCCAAGCAAAAGAACGGGUCAACUGAGCUCACAGCGCUGGGAGGUGGGGUAGGAUGGACUAGAAUGAACUCUUGCCUCGCCCCAAACGCUGAAGGUGCCGGCGGGGACCGUGAGCAACGUUUGACGCGGAUCCUGCCUCACACACAUAAAUAAUAUAAAUCAUUCGGUUUUCGCAGCAGCAGGCGGUGACUUAAAACUGGUGAACGGAACGACGCGGCCACAAAAACGACUUGCCGAACUUUUUGAAGGGUCUGAAAGGCCGCGGUUUUCUGAGGAUAAGUUCGCGGGUUCCGAUUCCAGAUCUCAGAAAUGGAAUCAAACUUAAUGCCUAAGCCACUUCUCAGCAAGGAUCCGCAGUGCUGAGUUGAAACAUUUCAGUUAGCUUUUCUCCUCCACCGUGGUGUCUUCAGCAUGCUGGCUAGGGAAUUAUAAGAUCUGAAAUCUUAUCGGGAAGCUAUCAGAUUCGAAAAAUUGGAUGAAAAUAACAGAUGAACCAGUGCAGAGACAAAUGAAAUGUUCUUAAUAGAAAUCAAAAGCAAAAGAACACCCUGAAUCUUAAAUCAACUGAAUACUCUGGAUUCUCACAAUAUGCAAAACCAUAAUCUGCUCUGAACAUGCAGCUCUCCUUCCCACCCCACCCUUGAUGAUAGCACAACUGUCAUGUGUCAGAGGCAUCUGGAACACACUGAUAUUGCUAAAAGUUAUUUGCAUGCACAGUCACACAGCAUGUCUAGAUACUUUUUUUCAAGUCUGUUUUGCAAAAGAGAAGGCUACUAGAAAUAGCCUGCUAACACAAGGGACCUGUUACUAUGGUAAAUGUGAACCAAGUGAGGCGAGAGAGCACAGAAUAAAAACAAGCUUUGGAUAAUUGCAUGCAACAUCCCACAGCAGCCCUACAGAUAUAGAUUAGUAAAGUGCAGAAACUGCCUUCAGAGCUAAGGAGGAAUUGUGAUGAUAAUAUCAACCUUAUUUAAUUGCACGGGAGUAUGGUGGAGAAGGAAGGAGGAGGGGAAGCACUUUCCUGUUGGACUAAAAUUUGCUGGAUGUCUGCAUGAAGUCAAGACUGGAGACCAAUUUCUCUCUUUACACAUGAGGUUUUCAUACAGGGUGGAAGUACUCUACCUUACAGACUAAACUUUACAAAGCCAAUACAGUAGAUUAAACACAUAUUGUAUGUAUGAAAUAUAGCUAUGAAUGUAGUAGCGCUUUAAUUUAACAUCCUUUUUGGGAGUUUUAACCAGGAUUAAUAGCUCCAAAUUCAAAUAGGCUUAAUAAUUAGUUGCAUAUGCAUGGCUGCCUGCCUUUUGAUUGUCUAUCAUUUUUUCCAUUGCAGUCAGUCAAUCAUAGCUAUAAUCCCUGACUGUAUUUCAUUGGAAUAGGAAACUGUAAAGAACACCUGUCAUACAAUCAGGGUGCCACUUCUUUUCUUUUCUUCCAAAAUGGUUUAGUUGACAAGGGCACAAAUACGCUACGAUAAUGAUCUGAACAGUCCUGAUAUUUCCUGGUGCCUUCAUGGACACAUCUGUCAUUUUCUUGAUCACAGUAGGGCAGACACUCUCCCUCCCUCCCUCCCUUUUUCCAGUCUAACCUACAGUUCUGGUAUUCCUCAGGUAUUAAUCAGGUCUGACUCAGUUUAGCUUUCCAGAUCAGUCAAGGUCAGUUAGUUGGUUUCUAACAGAGUGAGCAGGAGAUAAGCAAUGCAACAUAUAGUAUAUAAGAUGUUUUUCCUAAAAUCCGGCCAAGUAUACCAAGCUUUAUACAUAUCUAAGAAAAGUCAUGAUGAUGUAAUGUGCUUCACGAUACCAUCAUGAAAAUAACGUGAGCUGUAUAAUUUGUGUCAGUCAUAUAAUGAUACAAAUGAUACAUAGUACAGGUAAUCUUCUUUUAAUAUCCACUUGUUCACGACUGUUCAAAGCUAUGAGGGUGCUAAAACAAAUGGUACUUACAACUGGACCUUAGAUUUCCAACCUUUCAGCAUCCCUGUGGUCACGUGGUCACAAUCUGGGAACUUGGCAACCAGCUCAACUUACCAGUUGCAACAUCUUGUGGUCAUGUGGUCACCUUUUGCAACCUUUCCUGCUGGCUUCCCACAAGCAAAGUCAAUGGGAAAGCCAGCAGGAAAGGUCACAAGUCACUCGUGUAAGUUGCUUGCACUCUUUCCUCCCUCGCAGGAACCAUCCCUGCUAAAGCCACACUCAUGGUACACUUAAGUGGUGGGCCACUUUGCACACCUUCUCCUGCCCGGCAGCAGCCAGCCCUGAUUCCCUGCACCACCCUCUCCUACCUUGCAACCCAGCCACCCCUGGUCUCACUACACUGUGCUAUGCCUCAUGCCAUGCCUUACCUACCUGCUGACCUGCAUGCAAGCCACAUGGGAAUCACUUAACAAUCCACAACACUUGGUUAAAGAAAGCAGCAGAGAUUGCCAGGAUUGCUGUCAUUAAGUGAUGCAGUCACAUGACUUUGCACUUUAUGACUACAUUGUUUAGUGAUAAAAAUUCCAGUCUUAAUUACCGUUGUUAACUAAGGACUACCUGUAUGGCAUUUGCAUCAUGAGGUAAUGAAACACAUAAGACCACCUGCCUCCUUAGAGCUUGAAAAUCAAUCAAUUAAUGGUAACGUUACAGCAGUAGACAGCACUGUAUCACUUUACCUCUGGCUUCAGGUUGCUACACAGCUAAAAAAAAUGGGGGGGGGAUUCAGGUUACAUGGUUAUACUAAAGUAAAGAAAGAAGAAAAACUGUUCUCUGUAUUUUCUUGUUUGCACUCUGAUGAAAGUGGCAGAGAACAGAAGAGAGAAUAGUCUUCUAUCUUGAGAUCCUCUGCAAGCCUCAGUUAAAUCAGUAGCACCAUCUACUGUUCUUAUUAUAGAUUUUGCAAUAGGGAAAAUGAUAUCUUCAUAUUGUCCUAUAGACAUUAAAUAAUUAGCACCAAGCAAUGGAGCAGUAAUAUUUAUAACUCCACAAUGUGAACAGAGAGACAAAAUUAAAAUCUUGUUAUUGUAUCGGGGUCAAAGGGAGGACAAAAUAAUCAGAUCAAGAAAAAGACAGGAGAAAUAGCACCAUCGUGCACUAUUACUUGUCUGGGGGCUGCAACCAAGGAGGGACGAUGGAUUAUUAAUUAAUAUGAAUCUCUCUUGAUAACAUACUACAUUACUAUUGUAGGUGGGUUAUUGUUUUAGCACAAUUCUACAAAAUCCUAUAACAAUUGGCCAUAGGGAUUCAUGCAUUGGUAUCUUCAAGACUGGAUUUAUGUGAUGCCUUUAAUGUGGGUCUGACUCUGAUCUUGGGGUUUGUCCUGUAGAAUGCAGUGGGACUAAAUCAGGACUAAAUCAGGACUACUGAGUAAGACUGAAGAAGUUAUUAUCACAUAAAUCCUUUCUAGGAUUGUUAUACCAGCAGCCUUUGUGGAAAGCUAUUGGAUACUUUCAUAGAAUAAUUUGAAAAAUCUAUUUAACUGCAAAGUGAGAGAAAAAGAAAGCCACAAGUGUCCAACACAUUCAUAAAUAAUGUCCUUGAAACUUGAUAAAUAGAUGUCAAAAUAAUUCAUACUUUUUCUGUAUGAGUCAUUCAUAGACUGUUGUUGGUUGCCUCCACUCCAAUCUUCACUUCUAUUUGUGCAUUUUAUAUUUACUAGUUAGAUUGCAAUGUUAUUAUGUUUAGUGUAGAAUAGCUCAUGGACUUAAGAUGUAUUACUAUCCUAUACAGCAGCGGUUCUCAAACUAUGGGUCGGGACCCCUUUGGGGGUCGAAUGAUGAUUUGCCAGAGGUCGCCUAAGACCAUCGGAAAUAUGGGAAGUAUACUUGCGAGUCGAAGAAUCGCGCUCCAAUGGUUGACUCCACAAGCCAGCUGCAGGCUCUUCAAAUCGCUAGCUGAAUUCGGCUUCAGGCACGAUGAAUUAAAAAAGAGAGAAAUCUUUGCUCUGAUGUCUCCCUCUCAAGCCAGCUGCAAUCACUCCCAAUCGCUAGCCUAAUCUGGCUUCAGGCGCAAUAAACUUAAUAGGGGAGGAGUCUCCACUUUAAUGCCUCCGUACUCAAGGCAAUCGCAAGCAGUUCAGAUCGCUAGCCAAUAUGGCUUCAGGUGCGAUAAAUUCAAAAUGAAAAUAAUUUUACGGUUGGGGUCGCCACAUCAUGGGGAAUUGUAUUAAAGAGGUCGCCACAUCGUGUGGAAUUGUAUUAAAGGGGCCGCAGCACUAUAAAGGUUGAGAACCACUGCUAUACAGGAAAGGAGAAAAGGGCCCUUUAAGAGUGUCGUCUGACAUAAAAAAGGGGAGGGGGGAGAAAAGGUGUGAAGACCAGAUGCGCGGGCUUUUCAACGAAACCUGCAUUCCUGGCAUGCCAAGCAGCCGGCGACCUUCGGAAGAAGUUACCACGGGGGGCGAGAGGGAGCUGGCAUUGGCCCAGCCCUGCCUGACCUCUUGUGGGAAGGAGGGACUAAAGAGGGGAUAUGGGAUGUUGGCCAUAUUUUGUCUCAGAUUCAACUAUCCACGGCUGUAUUCCAGAUGUAUUUAGUAAAAGUACUUUUCUUUAUUUUCAAAUGAAGUCAAGGUGUUUUCUUUCCUAAAUAUAAUAAGAGACAGUCUGACAGAUCCUGACUAGGCAUAGGAUUAAAUGAGUGAUCUGAAGCCAUAUGGAAAAAUACCAUCUGAAAUAGAGUGCUGUCAACAUCGUCUCUAUAUGCAGCCAAAAUAUUGCAAUGGAUAUUGAACUGGAUAAAUGUGCCAUACCUACCAUCAACAAGGGAAAAAUAAUGAAAAAUAAAGAAAUAAAGAGGCUCUAUGGAAGUAACAUCAAAAAGUCAGUGAAAUUCAC
Ahaetulla prasina is the source of this 4885-nucleotide long non-coding RNA. RefSeq lists it as uncharacterized. The transcript has 4 exons. The record is from RefSeq and is a predicted model, not a curated record. NCBI's taxonomy places the organism in Eukaryota, Metazoa, Chordata, Lepidosauria, Squamata, Colubridae.